UGAACGCUGGCGGCGUGCCUACUACAUGCACGUCGAGCGAACAGACGCGGAGCUUGCUCCUCUGACGUUAGCGGCGGACGGGUGAGUAACACGUGGAUAACCUACCUAUAAGACUGGGAUAACUUCGGGAAACCGGAGCUAAUACCGGAUAAUAUAUUGAACCGCAUGGUUCAAUAGUGAAAGACGGUUUUGCUGUCACUUAUAGAUGGAUCCGCGCCGCAUUAGCUAGUUGGUAAGGUAACGGCUUACCAAGGCAACGAUGCGUAGCCGACCUGAGAGGGUGAUCGGCCACACUGGAACUGAGACACGGUCCAGACUCCUACGGGAGGCAGCAGUAGGGAAUCUUCCGCAAUGGGCGAAAGCCUGACGGAGCAACGCCGCGUGAGUGAUGAAGGUCUUCGGAUCGUAAAACUCUGUUAUUAGGGAAGAACAAAUGUGUAAGUAACUAUGCACGUCUUGACGGUACCUAAUCAGAAAGCCACGGCUAACUACGU
Molecule: ribosomal RNA, 494 nt
Filed under: uncultured bacterium
Lineage: Bacteria
Description: partial 16S ribosomal RNA
Rfam family: Bacterial small subunit ribosomal RNA
Source: RNAcentral